Molecule: ribosomal RNA, 433 nt
Filed under: uncultured bacterium
Lineage: Bacteria
Description: partial 16S ribosomal RNA
Rfam family: Bacterial small subunit ribosomal RNA
Source: RNAcentral
AACGAACGCUUUCUGCCUUCCUAACACAUGCAAGUCGAACGAGACCUUCGGGUCUAGUGGCGCACGGGUGCGUAACGCGUGGGAACCUGCCCUUAGGUUCGGAAUAACUCCCCGAAAGGGGUGCUAAUACCGGAUAAUGUCUUCGGACCAAAGAUUUAUCGCCUUUGGAUGGGCCCGCGUUGGAUUAGCUAGUUGGUAGGGUAAAAGCCUACCAAGGCGACGAUCCAUAGCUGGUCUGAGAGGAUGAUCAGCCACACUGGGACUGAGACACGGCCCAGACUCCUACGGGAGGCAGCAGUGGGGAAUAUUGGACAAUGGGCGAAAGCCUGAUCCAGCAAUGCCGCGUGAGUGAUGAAGGCCUUAGGGUUGUAAAGCUCUUUUACCCGGGAUGAUAAUGACAGUACCGGGAGAAUAAGCGACGGCUAACUCCGUG